GUUCUUUAUUAAAAGGAGAACCUUAAUAUCCCGUAGUUUCCAUUAGGACCCUGCUGCCACGGGAGGGAUGGACAAUAUAUGUCAUGCAAGUUCUUUUCCCUAAGCACGUAUGACUACAUACGGAAUACAUGCCUACAUUAGAUUGACGAACGGGAGCUAGCCACAUAUCUCUCCGUGUUACAGCUAUUACAUGAUGAAACACAUCCUUCACACUCAUCCAUCACCGAUCCACUGCCUACGAGUCUUUUACUUCUGGUUCUCGCUACGUUACUUUGCCUAGGCUUGUCCCUUGCUACAAGAGGGAUUGGGCUACUUUGUUGCUGCUGUCACUUUGCUGCUGCUACUACUAUUCCUUGCUACUC
Molecule: long non-coding RNA, 362 nt
Filed under: Hordeum vulgare
Lineage: Eukaryota; Viridiplantae; Streptophyta; Magnoliopsida; Poales; Poaceae
Description: long non-coding RNA (HVUL_LNC009035)
Source: RNAcentral